RNAcentral lists this long non-coding RNA (2298 nucleotides) under Mytilus galloprovincialis (Mediterranean mussel). Lineage: Eukaryota; Metazoa; Mollusca; Bivalvia; Mytilida; Mytilidae. The record is from RNAcentral.
AUUAUUUCCCUUUAAUGCCAGCAGAUCAGUAAUUUGUAUAGAAAAUAUUAUACGAAUCAUAAUUACACAAUAACUUUGUCUUAGAAGACAAAGCUACAAUAACUUUGUCUUAGAAGACAAAGCUAUAAAAUAUACAUCUACAAAACAAUGGUUUGAACUAUUUAUUUAUAAAAUCUAUUUAUGAUAGAAGUUUCCAUUUCAAAAUUAGACCUUCUUAUUCAGUGACUCAUACUAUAGUAAGUCAUUUUUGUGUUUGAAACAAAUGACAAAGGUAUCAACUAACUGGAUGGUAAGUAUUACUUUUGAUUUCACAGCACUCACUUCAUACUAACAACAUUUCACUUGAGCAAUCUGGUAAAACAUUUUACCAGUUGAUCAGUUAGUUGGAGAAGAAAUCUAACUGCAAUUUGGUAAACUGUUUUGGCCAUUGCUAUUGUGAUACCCCAAAGGUCACUGGAUAAGCACUGUAAAAGAACAAGUGUGAACAACUUAACCACACGUUGAAUAAAAAAGAAAUAAUGGAUUGAGAACGUUAGCAUCAGUUAAGAAAUAUUAAAAAAAAAAGCCUUUACAGAAAAGAAACUAAUUUAUUAUGACUGAUGAUAGUAAGAUUAUUUUACAAAGUUAUAAAUAGUUUAUUUUAGUAAACACUAAUAUGUUAUUUAUGUAAUCAAAGUUAAUACAUGUGACAGGUGGUUAAAUGUGUGAUGACAAUAACACCUUAACAGAAAUCUCAAUCCAUCAUAUAUAAUUUAAAUCCAUUUGAAAAAAACCUUCCUGGAAAAAAAAAUGCCAAUAGAUCUGAAAUGUAUUUUUGAAUGGGGUUGUUUCAAUAGACUUUUGUCACUAACAAAAUAAUUUUAUUAUUAGAUUACUGAUGACUGUUAUUGCAAAUAGAAUAUUUCAGUGGGGAUUUAGGAUUUAGCUCCUCCACCCCCCCCCCCCCCCCUUUUCUGGGAAAAUUUUUGUUGAUUAUAUAGGGAAUCACGGAAGCUUGACCGGAGCAGGCUCCCUUUUAGGCAGUCAGUGGACCCCCACUCUCUGGAUCUGCCACUACUUUUUGUGUGGAAUAAAGGCUUAGUAAACUAAGUGUUAUUCUGUAAGGGAAAAUUUAUAGUCGUGACUCAUUGUGACAAGGCCAAUGAAACAAAGAAAAAAAUAAUUUGGAAAAUAUUUUUUCUAAAUACGAACAAGGACACCUUAAAGUUUACGAUGUUGAUAAAAAGUCUUGAAUUUUGUAUCUUCAUUUUUUAACACUGAAUCAUGUGAUCAAAAUGUAAAUUAAAUUGUUAAAAAUGUUGUAUCCUGUAUGAAGACUUCACUUUUGAUGACAUUCCAUAAAGAGGUUGUGAGCCUGAUAUUUCAGUUUGUUAUUUUCUAUGUUAGUUAUAUUAUUAUCAUGGUAAUGUCUUCAUACAUUUUAUGUGUAUUUAGUAUCAUAGAAAGUUUUUGAGGUUUAGUUUUUGUCACAUUAAUGUGUGAGAAGGUCCAUUUUAUUACAGUAAUUUAGAAACCUGUGAUAGGACUUGGCUCAUUUCUGAUAUUAUACAAACAUAUUAAUUUUUAUAUUGCUGUGAAUAUAUUUUUAGCAUUUUAGAAAUUUGUAGAAUCAGGUUAUAAAUAUUUUAUGUGCAAUACAAAUUUUAAAUUUUUGUACAUAACAGUUGCUCUCUUUUAAAUAAUUUCUUCUUAUCCAAGUAGCAAUGAUUAAAAUAUUAACUGUGGAUUCAUUUAUUUUUUUCGUUGUUAUCAAUUUUUGUAGAUUGAGUAAAACUUGCAUGUUCGUGGAUUAAGUAAAACUUGCAUGUUCGUGGAUAUUUUAUUCAUGGUUUUGCCAAAAUCUGCAUAUUACCUAAUAGAAAAUUUGUAAUUCAUUGAAUAUUUUUUUUUUUUUUUGUGUUUCACCUGUACCCAUGAAAGCCACGAAAAUUGUUAUCUCACGAAUAAUAAUGAAUCCACAGUAAUAUAUAUAUAUGUAAGUUUCAGAGAGUUAUUACAAACCUCAGAAUAUGCUGUUUUCUAUGUUUACAUAGAUAUGGUUGUAUAUUGCUGUAUAGAAAGGUUGUAUUGAAAAAUUAAGAUUGUUAGAAUAUUUAUAUGCUAAGACAGAAUUGUUAACAGAAUUUUACUUUAUAUAUACAACUUUUGAAGACAGUACACUUCAAAUAUUCUUAACUGUUAUAAGAUUGGAUAAUUAAAAAGAAAAUCAUGUGCGAUAUAAAAGGUGCUACAUGCUAUAUUCUAUAUACAUUAUUCUGUAUAUAUCACAUUAUCUAAUUACAAGUAAAUUAAAUCCAG